UACGUAGGUUGCGAGCGUUAAUCGGAAUUACUGGGCGUAAAGCGUGCGCAGGCGGUUUUUUAAGACUGGGGUGAAAUCCCCGGGCUUAACCUGGGGACUUCAUUUGUGACUGCAAGACUAGAGUGUGGCAGAGGGGGGUAGAAUUCCACGUGUAGCAGUGAAAUGCGUAGAUAUGUGGAGGAAUACCGAUGGCGAAGGCAGCCCCCUGGGUCAACACUGACGCUCAUGCACGAAAGCGUGGGGAGCAAACAGG
Molecule: ribosomal RNA, 253 nt
Filed under: uncultured bacterium
Lineage: Bacteria
Description: partial 16S ribosomal RNA
Rfam family: Bacterial small subunit ribosomal RNA
Source: RNAcentral